Molecule: non-coding RNA, 92 nt
Organism: Oryza brachyantha (malo sina)
Lineage: Eukaryota; Viridiplantae; Streptophyta; Magnoliopsida; Poales; Poaceae
Source: Rfam
CCAUGCAUCACUGGGCAGGUCUCCCUUGGCAGUGGACGAGAUGAUCAAAACCGGCAGCCACUGCCAAAGGAGACUUGCCCAGCAAUGCAGCU